Molecule: ribosomal RNA, 659 nt
Filed under: Umbelopsis ramanniana
Lineage: Eukaryota; Fungi; Mucoromycota; Umbelopsidomycetes; Umbelopsidales; Umbelopsidaceae
Description: eukaryotic LSU rRNA
Rfam family: Eukaryotic large subunit ribosomal RNA
Source: RNAcentral
UAACAAGGAUUCCCUCAGUAACGGCGAGUGAAGCGGGAAGAGCUCAAAUUUAAAAUCUGGUUUGCUUGCAAGCCCGAGUUGUAGUCUGAAGAAACGUUUUCCAUAAGCACUGAGGCAAAAGUCCCUUGGAACAGGGCAUCAUAGAGGGUGAGAAUCCCGUCCAUGGUCUCAAGUUGUUUAUUUUGUGAUACGUUUUCAAAGAGUCAGGUUGUUUGGGAAUGCAGCCUAAAAUGGGUGGUAAAUUUCAUCUAAAGCUAAAUAUUGGCGAGAGACCGAUAGCGAACAAGUACCGUGAGGGAAAGAUGAAAAGAACUUUGAAAAGAGAGUUAAAAAGUACGUGAAAUUGUUGAAAGGGAACCGUUUGAAGCCAGUCUUACUUGCCUGUGAUCAAUUUUUGCCUCGGCAUGAAUGCACUCUCGGGUAUGGUAGGCCAACGACAGUUUGGAAUGCGAGAAAAAAAUAGGGGAAAUGUGGCCUUCGGGUGUUAUAGUCCCUUAUAAAAUAUCGUGUUCUGGACUGAGGAUCGCAGCAAAAAUGUGGGCAGGUGGAUUUCUGUGGUAACUGUCGGUUAGGACAACUUGUUGACCUAGUCUUCCUUAGCCUCACUAUUUACCUCGCUUCUAAUUUGCUUAGGUCGUUGGCAUAAUGGCUUUAAAUGA